GAUGAACGCUGGCGGCGUGCCUAAUACAUGCAAGUCGAGCGCACGGAUAAGGAGCUUGCUCCUUUGAAGUUAGCGGCGGACGGGAGAGUAACACGUGGGUAACCUACCUAUAAGACUGGAAUAACUUCGGGAAACCGGAGCUAAUGCCGGAUAACAUAUAGAACCGCAUGGUUCUAUAGUGAAAGAUGGUUUUGCUAUCACUUAUAGAUGGACCCGCGCCGUAUUAGCUAGUUGGUAAGGUAAUGGCUUACCAAGGCGACGAUACGUAGCCGACCCGAGAGGGUGAUGGGCCACACUGGAACUGAGACACGGUCCAGACUCCUACGGGAGGCAGCAGUAGGGAAUCUUCCGCAAUGGGCGAAAGCCUGACGGAGCAACGCCGCGUGAGUGAUGAAGGUUUUCGGAUCGUAAAACUCUGUUAUUAGGGAAGAACAAAUGCGUAAGUAACUGUGCGCAUCUUGACGGUACCUAAUCAGAAAGCCACGGCUAACUACGUGCCAGCAGCCGCAGUAA
This 513-nucleotide ribosomal RNA is filed under the name uncultured bacterium. Its description in RNAcentral is "partial 16S ribosomal RNA". It matches the Rfam family "Bacterial small subunit ribosomal RNA", at positions 28 to 523 of the family's 1533-position model. The record is from RNAcentral.